UGUAAACAAACCAGCCCAGCCCGCCAGGGUGCUUACCCUGGUGGCCGCGUGCCAAAGGUUGCCCUCUGUUAUAAGAGGUUGUGCCUUUAAGGGCUGAGCUUCCUAGACAGAGUUCUCAGACACCAAUUGGCACCAGGGUACAGAAGAAAGAAGAAUUCUUGCAAGCACCACAAAUGCCUCCUUAGUGAAUAUGAAGAAACCACCACCACUAAGUGUUAGUCACAUUUCUGAACAAGCAGAGAAGCCAAGUACUGAAUUAGCAUGGAGAAAGAACUACCCUCAAGAUCAGAAUAGAGACACAUUGAUGAGGACUGAAAGAGAAGAUAUGACUCUGCCAGAGAGAAGCAGUAUCUGAAAAAGGAUCCGAUUGAACAAGUCUGUAGGGGAAAUUCCUGAAGUGACAAGGGUGUGGACAAGAUGACCUAUGAGAAGUUAGAGAUAGCAAAACCUAUGAUGGAACUAAAACGAUUAAAUUAAAGUCAAUAACCAGAAGUAGAUAACACUCAACUCAGAGUCCUACUGUGACUAAAGACCAGCAGCUAGUGGAUAGGGAAAACAAGGUACCUCUAAACUGUAGGCCCAGCUCACUAGUCCCAUUGACAAGCUCUGGGGGCUUGCUCCAAUCACAUGCUUUGUUAAAAACCCCAUUAGUAUAUGGAUUUGUGUUAGUCAGCCAAUACUAUUCUCCCUGUCCCUAAGUGUCACACGAUCAUCUCACUCCCCAUUCAAGUUCUCCAAAAAUAGUUCAGCAAUCUCUCAUGGGAUACCCAUAUAAGUAGCUUUUGCUCACACUCAUUAUGAAAGUGGACCACAGUGAUGUACCCACUAUCUUUUUCCCAACUCACUGAGCCAUUCAUCUUAUUAAGCUAACACAGCUUUCAUGAUUGUACCUGUGACCACACAAGACUUCCUACUAAGUAUGGCCAAUGGGAAAACAUGAAUUUGUUUUCAAGAGAAUGUCCUGCUGUAAAGGCACCAAUCAGUCAUAAUGGGGAAAGAAGAGGUUGUCAAGCUUUAACCUGAAAAUGUGACUGAUGUCCUUGUGAUGUGAAUGACAUAGAAGUUGGCCUGAUUCACUAAAGACAACUGGGGAAAGAGUUCACAAUCAAUUUGUAUUGAAGAGAAUGAACUGUAUCUUAGACCCUACCUCUGAGCAACCAUAUCCCACCCCUCUAUGUCCAAAGGCAACGUCUUAUAAACACUAAUUGUCCUUAAGCUAGAACACUGGUUCCAACAUAGACACAAGCAGAAAUACAUAUAGAUAUCAUAAGAAAAACAUGUCUUAUAUCAAGAACUAUAUUGCAUACAAGACACUAUGUGAACAUGGAUGUUCUGGGAUAUUGGAAACAGCAAGAUUUGGCCAAAGGGAGCAAGUUGGGGCCUGGCUUAGCCAGCUUUAACUUUGUUAUGCAAAUCAGUCAUCAUGGCAGCUCCCCACAGCACUUUCCUUGUGCAGUCUAGAAUUUCAGUUUCCCAGAGUUGUGAUCAAAGAUAAAUCAGCUGAGUGCUGUGACAAGACAUCUGUUCAGCCUCCAUCCUGCAGGUUUCCUCUAUAGCACCUAUGGAAGCUCCAGACAGACUAUUCUCUCUGCCACUGUAAUGUUUUAACCAGUACAUUGAGACUGCAUGCUACAUAAACAUCUGGCUUUCCAUUUCCUGCUUGCACACCUUGAGUAUGGAAGCAUGGUCCAGCAGAUAAGUCUGGGUCUCAAGAUAUCUGGAUUUAUUCCUAGGUUGUCCACUGCCCUGCACGGGUGCCAUUUCAGAUUUGCGGGUGAGGAAGAGACUUUAACCAUGAUUCCAGGGGAUACUUAGGCACUUGAAGACUCUAGUUUUUUGGCAGAUAACUUAGCAAUUAGCUGACAGGAGCAUUGUAUAUAAUUCCUACAAAAAAGAAAGAAAAUUAAAAAAAAAUUAGACCCACUCAGCUCUAACACUAACAUGGUCUGAUGUCUUGUGGCAAGUCACUUAAGGGACACUGAUUAGUUAAAAAUUUUAAUGUAUAUUCUUACUUUGUUACUAACUCUGUGGAGAUAGAGCCUCCAUCAGGACCUGUGGUUUCUAUCUCAGCUCUGGGAGGCGAGUGGGGGGUCUAGUGGGUUACAGCAGGCGGUCAGAUACCUCUGGAUUCUAUAUAAGAACAUCUGAAUUGGCCAUACUGGGUAAGACCAAUGGUCCAUCUAGCUCAGUAUUCUGUCUUGUUUUCUAACAGUGGCUAAUACCAUGUGCUUCAGAGCGAAUGAACAGA
Molecule: long non-coding RNA, 2248 nt
Organism: Chrysemys picta bellii (western painted turtle)
Lineage: Eukaryota; Metazoa; Chordata; Testudines; Emydidae
Source: RefSeq, a predicted model, not a curated record